AGCGAACGCUGGCGGCAGGCUUAACACAUGCCAGUCGAGCGGGCACUUCGGUGUCAGCGGCAGACGGGUGAGUAACACGUGGGAACGUACCCUUCGGUUCGGAAUAACGCUGGGAAACUAGCGCUAAUACCGGAUACGCCCUUUUGGGGAAAGGUUUACUGCCGAAGGAUCGGCCCGCGUCUGAUUAGCUAGUUGGUGGGGUAAUGGCCUACCAAGGCGACGAUCAGUAGCUGGUCUGAGAGGAUGAUCAGCCACACUGGGACUGAGACACGGCCCAGACUCCUACGGGAGGCAGCAGUGGGGAAUAUUGGACAAUGGGCGCAAGCCUGAUCCAGCCAUGCCGCGUGAGUGAUGAAGGCCUUAGGGUUGUAAAGCUCUUUUGUCCGGGACGAUAAUGACGGUACCGGAGGAAUAAGCCCCGGCUAACUUCGUG
RNAcentral lists this ribosomal RNA (433 nucleotides) under uncultured bacterium. Its description in RNAcentral is "partial 16S ribosomal RNA". It matches the Rfam family "Bacterial small subunit ribosomal RNA", at positions 29 to 507 of the family's 1533-position model. The record is from RNAcentral.